This 436-nucleotide ribosomal RNA is filed under the name uncultured Saccharofermentans sp. RNAcentral describes it as "bacterial SSU rRNA". It matches the Rfam family "Bacterial small subunit ribosomal RNA", at positions 341 to 792 of the family's 1533-position model. The record is from RNAcentral. Lineage: Bacteria; Bacillati; Bacillota; Clostridia; Eubacteriales; Oscillospiraceae.
ACGGGAGGCAGCAGUGGGGAAUAUUGGGCAAUGGGCGCAAGCCUGACCCAGCAACGCCGCGUGAAGGAUGAAGGUCUUCGGAUUGUAAACUUCUUUGAUCAGGGACGAAUAAAUGACGGUACCUGAAGAACAAGUCACGGCUAACUACGUGCCAGCAGCCGCGGUAAUACGUAGGUGACAAGCGUUAUCCGGAUUUACUGGGUGUAAAGGGCGUGUAGGCGGUUUGGCAAGUCAGAAGUGAAAUUCCCGGGCUUAACUUGGGCGCUGCUUCUGAAACUGCUUAACUUGAGUACUGGAGAGGAUAGUGGAAUUCCUAGUGUAGCGGUAAAAUGCACAGAUAUUAGGAGGAACACCGGUGGCGAAGGCGGCUAUCUGGACAGUAACUGACGCUGAGGCGCGAAAGCACGGGGAGCAAACAGGAUUAGAUACCCUGGUA